This 497-nucleotide ribosomal RNA is filed under the name uncultured bacterium. RNAcentral describes it as "partial 16S ribosomal RNA". It matches the Rfam family "Bacterial small subunit ribosomal RNA", at positions 28 to 507 of the family's 1533-position model. The record is from RNAcentral.
GAUGAACGCUGGCGGCGUGCCUAAUACAUGCAAGUCGAGCGAACAGACGAGGAGCUUGCUCCUCUGACGUUAGCGGCGGACGGGUGAGUAACACGUGGAUAACCUACCUAUAAGACUGGGAUAACUUCGGGAAACCGGAGCUAAUACCGGCUCAUAUAUUGAACCGCAUGGUUCAAUAGUGAAAGACGGUUUUGCUGUCACUUAUAGAUGGAUCCGCGCCGCAUUAGCUAGUUGGUAAGGUAACGGCUUACCAAGGCGACGAUGCGUAGCCGACCUGAGAGGGUGAUCGGCCACACUGGAACUGAGACACGGUCCAGACUCCUACGGGAGGCAGCAGUAGGGAAUCUUCCGCAAUGGGCGAAAGCCUGACGGAGCAACGCCGCGUGAGUGAUGAAGGUCUUCGGAUCGUAAAACUCUGUUAUUAGGGAAGAACAAAUGUGUAAGUAACUAUGCACGUCUUGACGGUACCUAAUCAGAAAGCCACGGCUAACUACGUG